Molecule: transfer RNA, 69 nt
Filed under: Sosibia gibba
Lineage: Eukaryota; Metazoa; Arthropoda; Insecta; Phasmatodea; Lonchodidae
Description: tRNA-Val
Source: RNAcentral
CAGAUUGUAGUUUAUAGAAAAUAAUUCAUUUACGUUGAAUAGAUUUUAGUGCAAUUCUUUAGGUUCUGA